UUAUCCGGAUAUACUGGGUGUAAAGGGCGCGCAGGCGGGCCGGCAAGUUGGAAGUGAAAUCUAUGGGCUUAACCCAUAAACUGCUUUCAAAACUGCUGGUCUUGAGUGAUGGAGAGGCAGGCGGAAUUCCGUGUGUAGCGGUGGAAUGCGUAGAUAUACGGAGGAACACCAGUGGCGAAGGCGGCCUGCUGGACAUUAACUGACGCUGAGGCGCGAAAGCGUGGGGAGCAAACAGGAUUAGAUACCCUGGUAGUCCACGCCGUAAACGAUGGAUACUAGGUGUGGGAGGUAUUGACCCCUUCCGUGCCGCAGUUAACACAAUAAGUAUCCCACCUGGGGAGUACGGCCGCAAAGUUGAAACUCAAAGGAAUUGACGGGGGCCCGCACAAGCAGUGGAGCAUGUGGUUUAAUUC
Molecule: ribosomal RNA, 413 nt
Filed under: uncultured bacterium
Lineage: Bacteria
Description: bacterial SSU rRNA
Rfam family: Bacterial small subunit ribosomal RNA
Source: RNAcentral